Syngnathus acus (greater pipefish) is the source of this 1375-nucleotide long non-coding RNA. RefSeq lists it as uncharacterized. The transcript has 6 exons. The record is from RefSeq and is a predicted model, not a curated record. Lineage: Eukaryota; Metazoa; Chordata; Actinopteri; Syngnathiformes; Syngnathidae.
UGGUCAGACGGUAGCACUCAAGUCCGGAUUCAAUCGACAUGCUUGUUUUGUUCCUGUGACCUCACAAAACAUUUGUAUGAUGUUUUUAUUCCUUCAAAUGAAAUAAUCCAGUCAAGCUACCUUGCAAGCACAGGCAACAAACUUGAACCCUGCGAGUCCUUCCUGCCCUUUGCAUACAGAAGCCCCUCCCGAGACGAGUGAGAAUAAAACGGCCAAUCUGAAGCGCUGUCCAGUCCGCCGCCGCCGCCGCUGCUGCCGCAUCAUCAGCCCCGAGGAGAGGGAGUGGACCCUUUCGUGCUGUGUUCGCAGAGCCGUGUCACAUGCGAUUUCGUCAUGUGCAGAUGAAGGUCCUCCAGGCCCAGAUGAACAAGCGCCGACAUUCCCGGGAUGUCCAUGAAGGCAACAUUUGCCUGUCCCGAUGGAGGUCCGACAUGCAAUAAUCCGCUCCGGUCGGCCGGGAUGGGGUCCCGGGCCCGGGCGGGGUCCCCGCAGGACCUGGGCGGCUUUCAUCUCAAUGAUUUGAUUUCCGCCACCCGAUGUGUUGAGUGAAUGAACUGCAAUGCCCUCUACUGGUUGCUGGUUCAUUUCCUACCUGAAGGUACACUCCAAGCGUUCUCGGGUCUCUUGAAAGGAGGAAACGCGCUCAUGCGAUUGAGAGAGCAACACUUGCGAGGUGAGUGUGUGUGUGUGUGUGUGUGUGUGUGUGUUAGGUUAUCAAUGAGUUUAUUUACGUUUUUCAAACCUUCAGAAUGCCUAAAUUCCUCAAAUAGAAGCUGAAAGGGAAAUACUAAGGACACAAAAUCAACACUUGGGAGACUAACAGCUUAUGUGAAGCUGCAAGAUGAACAUAAGACGAUGCAAACAAACAAAACAUUAGCCAUGUUUGUCAACACACUGUCUUGCUCUCUCUGCUUCUAUCUCUCUGUCUCGCUCUCUCUCUCGCUCCCCCACGUUGCGUGUUACAUCAUCACGCAAUGGCUGUCCUCUCGUGGCCCAGUGAACUAGCUGCGAGCGAUGCACCGAUUUAGCUGCCUGCUAUACACUACUACACGCACAAGCAGCGGAUGGCAGUCACGGAAGCAGCAGACGGUAAAGUGUAAUUAUGUUCAAGCAAAAGUGUUAUUACUAUACUUUUACCCCCAGUGGAUUUGAUUUGAAACAACGGUGUUUGAAAAGCAUCAACACAAAAAGUGCAGAUGUUACUAAAAUGAGUACACAAGUAUCGCGUGAGGGUGGGUGCACCUUGUUGUCAUGAGCGUGACAAGGGUCACGCGCCCCCCCCCCCCGCCGCUCUUGUGCGCAUGCCCCGAAAAGUCUGACAUUAAUGUACAAAGUGUGAAUCGUUUGAAUUUAGCACAAUGGCUAAGAAUUAUUU